AUGCCCCACUCGAUUCUGUGGUUGAUCAGUGCCCCCAGGCGCCGAACACAAACGCUCAUCGGAGCCCUUGCAAAAGGUGUUGGUUGGUCGAGACAGCAAGGUGGUGGCCAUGGAAGUUGGAAUCCGCGAAGGAGUGUAAUGACUUCACUGCCGUAUCAACUGGCCCUGGAAAUGGAUGGCGCUCCAGCUUCUGAGGUCGCUGUGUCCUGCAAAUUCAACAGACAUUUGAUAUCAGCGGCAAGAUCCCUUUGCAACAAUUUAUCUUCAACUCGGAUCAACUUGGAAUCGGAAAUGGUCACACGACCAUGGACAUUCUGCUUUUCCUCCCAACAAUAGCGAAG
This 341-nucleotide long non-coding RNA is filed under the name Eptatretus burgeri (inshore hagfish). Its description in RNAcentral is "lncRNA (ENSEBUG00000017212.1)". The stretch from base 38 to 198 matches the Rfam family "Eukaryotic large subunit ribosomal RNA", at positions 1184 to 1342 of the family's 3401-position model. The record is from RNAcentral. Lineage: Eukaryota; Metazoa; Chordata; Myxini; Myxiniformes; Myxinidae.